GCUGGAAUAGCUCAGUUGGUAGAGCAGAGGACUGAAAAUCCUCGUGUCACC
Molecule: transfer RNA, 51 nt
Filed under: Mastigophora woodsii
Lineage: Eukaryota; Viridiplantae; Streptophyta; Jungermanniopsida; Jungermanniales; Mastigophoraceae
Description: partial tRNA-Phe
Rfam family: tRNA
About the family: Transfer RNA (tRNA) molecules are approximately 80 nucleotides in length. Their secondary structure includes four short double-helical elements and three loops (D, anti-codon, and T loops).
Source: RNAcentral